Molecule: ribosomal RNA, 448 nt
Filed under: uncultured bacterium
Lineage: Bacteria
Description: bacterial SSU rRNA
Rfam family: Bacterial small subunit ribosomal RNA
Source: RNAcentral
AUCCAGACUCCUACGGGAGGCAGCAGUGGGGAAUAUUGCACAAUGGGGGAAACCCUGAUGCAGCGACGCCGCGUGAGUGAAGAAGUAAUUCGUUAUGUAAAGCUCUCUCAGCAGGGAAGAAAAUGACGGUACCUGAGUAAGAAGCCCCGGCUAACUACGUGCCAGCAGCCGCGGUAAUACGUAUGGUGCAAGCGUUAUCCGGAAUGACUGGGUGUAAAGGGAGCGUAGACGGUUGUACAAGUCUGAUGUGAAAGGCGGGGGCCCAACCCCCGGACUGCUCUGGAAACUGUAUAGCUGGAGUGCAGGAGAGGUAAGUGGAAUUCCUAGUGUAGCGGUGAAAUGUGUAGAUAUUAGGAGGAACACCAGUGGCGAAGGCGGCUUACUGGACUGUAACUGACGUUGAGGCUCGAAAGCGUGGGGAGCAAACAGGAUUAGAUACCCGCGUAAA